AGGUUAAUAACAAUGUGCUCGUGGCAGAGAGAACAGGCAGAUCGUAAAGACGCCGUCAAUCCCUCCUUGGAGGCUCGAGCCGCGCCGUCCUGGCGCGGACGCUUU
RNAcentral lists this non-coding RNA (105 nucleotides) under Yersinia mollaretii. RNAcentral's name for it is "Yersinia sRNA 224". It matches the Rfam family "Yersinia sRNA 224". Lineage: Bacteria; Pseudomonadati; Pseudomonadota; Gammaproteobacteria; Enterobacterales; Yersiniaceae. The record is from RNAcentral.